Molecule: ribosomal RNA, 253 nt
Filed under: uncultured bacterium
Lineage: Bacteria
Description: partial 16S ribosomal RNA
Rfam family: Bacterial small subunit ribosomal RNA
Source: RNAcentral
UACAGAGGUCUCAAGCGUUGUUCGGAUUCAUUGGGCGUAAAGGGCGCGUAGGCGGCCUGGCAAGUGGAAGGUGAAAUCCCUCGGCUUAACCGAGGAACUGCCCUCCAAACUGCUUGGCUUGAGUCCGGGAGAGGUGAGUGGAAUUCCCAGUGUAGCGGUGAAAUGCGUAGAUAUUGGGAGGAACACCAGUGGCGAAGGCGGCUCACUGGACCGGAACUGACGCUGAUGCGCGAAAGCGUGGGGAGCAAACGGG